CCUACGGGAGGCAGCAGUGAGGAAUAUUGGUCAAUGGGCGCGAGCCUGAACCAGCAAAGUAGCGUGAAGGAUGACUGCCCUACGGGUUGUAAACUUCUUUUAUAAAGGAAUAAAGUGAGGCACGUGUGCCUUUUUGUAUGUACUUUAUGAAUAAGGAUCGGCUAACUCCGUGCCAGCAGCCGCGGUAAUACGGAGGAUCCGAGGGUUGUCCGGAUUUAUUGGGUUUAAAGGGAGCGUAGGUGGGUUGUUAAGUAAGUUGUGAAACUAUGCGGCUCAACCGUAAAAUUGCAAUUGAUACUGGCAGACUUGAGUACAGGUGAGGUAGGCGGAAUUCGUGGUGUAGCGGUGAAAUGCUUAGAUAUUACGAAGAACUCCGAUUGCGAAGGCAGCUUACUAAACUGCAACUGACAUUGAUGCUCGAAAGUGUGGGUAUCAAACAGGAUUAGAUACCCUAGUAGUC
Molecule: ribosomal RNA, 460 nt
Filed under: uncultured bacterium
Lineage: Bacteria
Description: partial 16S ribosomal RNA
Rfam family: Bacterial small subunit ribosomal RNA
Source: RNAcentral